UGUUAGAGGCUUCCCAUUUCUCAAAGUACUGACUACCAUAUUGCAAGGAAUUUAAGAUAGAACCGACGUCACCCGCAGCUUAUUUUUCCCAACAAUUGAAUAUCGAUCAUGCCAUGGUUGAAGAGCGGCCGACAACCAAGAAACUAUAUGAAGACAUGAAGAAACGAAUCGAUAAUGCUACAGAGUUGGGCCAAGUUCCAAAAGCAGCACGGAAAGAGCACAAAAGUUUUCAGGAAUGGGAUUUGGUUUCAAGCAAAUGCGACCAUCCCACCAUUCUCCAAGUACAUUUUGCUCUAUUUCAGAUAAUGAAUGGAUAUAUCAUCACCAGAAAGUUACUAGUAAAAAAACACAAGGGAAAGACACAAAGGAAUUAAUCCUGAUGUUCGUUGUUAUUGAUAUAGCUCUUUUACUUGACAUACAGAUACUUAUUGAUGGGAGAGACUCUACAGCUGUGGAUAUUGAAGAACAAACUUUGCCAACUCUAGUGUACUUGGCACGCGAGAAGAGACCGCAAUAUCACCAUAACUUCGAAGCAGGAGCCCUGAAUGCUCUUGAAAGCCGUCUCACACAUACAGAGAUACAUACCUGCAAACAAACUCGUAAUAAACGAAUAAGUGUUGGUUUCCCAAAAGUAGCCCGA
Rhododendron vialii is the source of this 640-nucleotide long non-coding RNA. RefSeq lists it as uncharacterized. The record is from RefSeq and is a predicted model, not a curated record. Lineage: Eukaryota; Viridiplantae; Streptophyta; Magnoliopsida; Ericales; Ericaceae. The transcript is spliced from 2 exons.